AAUGAGAAGGCAACUCAUUACCGCACGUCAGCCAGGAGGGCGACAUCAUCACUCAGCUCCUCAGCUUUCCAGAUCAAUACCAUGUCAUUACCUGUUGGCGCGCCUCUGCAUACCCGGAAAGACAGGGAAGGGUGCUGCCAAAAAUGAACCGGCUUUCAACCUCAAUCGAAUCUGCACCGUGCGUCCCGGGGGACGCAUUUGACGCCCCCCCCCCCCCC
Long non-coding RNA from Hippocampus zosterae (dwarf seahorse), 218 nucleotides. RefSeq lists it as uncharacterized. The transcript has 2 exons. NCBI's taxonomy places the organism in Eukaryota, Metazoa, Chordata, Actinopteri, Syngnathiformes, Syngnathidae. The record is from RefSeq and is a predicted model, not a curated record.